AUGUUUUUAACAGAAUGUGACCUCACUGGGAUACCAGAGAAGACAAUAAGUAGAUCGAGUCCAGUUCUUCAUCCGAGUCCUCAAAGCAGCAGCGCAAGAACCGGGGUAGUGGCAAACCUAGUGAAACCACCAGACAGUGGCCCUCUGGACCUCUUCACAGACUCACUUGGUAAAGGUGCGUGAUAGAUAAGCUGCCAACGCUGUCCAAAUUAAAGCAAAUGUUUCCUCUGAAGAGGCUUCUAGAAACAAGCAUAUUAUCUGAAGUAGGAGUCAGUCACGUGAGGGCGAUUGAAGGUGAUAAAUGUAUUGUUACAACUUUGUUAUUUGUGUUGCAAUAAUACUUCCGGCCUACUCGUGGAUCAGAUGCUGGGUACCGUGCAAUAAGAAACAGAUUUUAUAUGCUAAACAGCAAAUGAUAUAGACAUGAGACAGUAAAUAAAACAAAUAUGAUGAAUUAUUCA
Molecule: long non-coding RNA, 461 nt
Filed under: Phasianus colchicus (ring-necked pheasant)
Lineage: Eukaryota; Metazoa; Chordata; Aves; Galliformes; Phasianidae
Description: lncRNA (ENSPCLG00000020296.1)
Source: RNAcentral